Molecule: long non-coding RNA, 440 nt
Organism: Nannospalax galili (Upper Galilee mountains blind mole rat)
Lineage: Eukaryota; Metazoa; Chordata; Mammalia; Rodentia; Spalacidae
Exons: 3
Source: RefSeq, a predicted model, not a curated record
UAAGGAAGCCGGGGCCUUCAAGAAAAGGAGGAAAACACACAAAAGCUGAACAAAGAACUACACUUGUCCACAGCCCGUCUUCCAGGGCCAGCCCAGCGCUGGAGCAGUGUGCACUUUCUUCCUGCCUUCUCUGCGGCUCCCCACAUUACUGAUGAGCCUCCUCGAGCUAAUGGAAUAAUGAAAACACAAAACAGAUUUACCAUGCUUAAUAAGAGGAGGAGAUAAUGAAGGCAAAUUAAAAUGGAAGCUCAGAUCUGCAUGGAGAACGUGGCUUUGGUGCUGUGCAUGUGGUGAGCUGAAGACCUAUCAAUCAUCUUGACAUCCCAAAGAGAUAUCCGAACUCAGGGGGAAGUAGGGGCACAGAAUGGAGUCGUGCACUUACAGCAAGCCCUGCCUGAAGCCCAGAUCACCCUCUUUACCUUGUCAUUAUAAAAUGUGAU